UGUGAUUUUACAUUUGUAUAUAUGUAACCUGAUAUUCUUACCUCCUUUAGUAUAAAUCAUCGUGGAUCUUGUUAGAAAAGUCAUCCAGUCCCAUAUGAUUACUCAAAGGAUUUUGAAGACUGAAUAGGUAAGAAACUUUCAGUAGCGUAAAUACAAAUUAUUCUAAAGCUUUAAACAUUCUAGGUAUUAAACAGAAAAAUAUUUUUAAUGCUAUAGCAGGAAUACACAUUCAUUUUAAUAGUAAUCUUGUCAUGAAUAUCUAAGAAGUAUCUCAUGCCUUGGAGCCUACCAAAUUCUAGACUGUGCUUUUCUAGUUUGAAUUCUAAACUGUUGUCUGUUACAGGUGCUUGGCUAUGGAGUUUGUCUGUGGCAAAAAGAGUGGAUGUCAUCCUGAAGAGUCAUCCUGAAAUUUUGAGGAUUUUGUGACUAGUUACAUCUCUCCUUGUAUAAUCUUUCUUUUUGUUAGUGGUCAGAGAAACUUACUUUCCACUAGAAACUAAAUCUAACUACAUGCUACUAGCAUAAAUGCUAGUAGUAUGUGAUGCUGAGUGCAUACUCAGAUUACCUGGAAAUUAUUUUCUAACUUUUGAAUUUUAUAGUUUAAAUUUCUAAAAAUAAGCUUGAAAAAAAAAGCUCUUGAGAGUGUAAACAUUAUCUAACUCAGUCAAGCUAUGGUUAAGUAAAUUUCAUGUUAUUAAUUUGUUACACAGUUUUAAAAAGAAGUUGAAAUGGGAUUAGGCGAUGUGGUCUUUUAAGAACCUUUAUUAUAGUGGCUUUUGUAGGAAGUUAAGUGAGGCUUUUUUAAUGAACUACUAGAGUAAUUUAACAAUGAGAUGCACAGCUUGACAGGAAUAUCAUUGUACUGAGCACAAUACUACCUAACUAUAUAAUGAAAGAUUAUAAUGAAUAUAUGAAAUAAUUAUAAUGAAUAUGGGUAAUGAAAAGACUGUAGGAAUGUGAGUUAUAAAUUUAAUCCCCGGUAGAACUUGGUGGCAAAAAAUACAUAGGUACUUCCCUUCAGGGUGGAGAAGAUUAUUCAUGAAAUUUUUUUCCGUUACUAGCUAAAGAAGUUGUUUAUCCCAUUACUUCUAAACAAGCUAAUGAAUGGUAUGAAUGUGGG
This is a long non-coding RNA of Neopsephotus bourkii (Bourke's parrot), 1120 nucleotides long. RefSeq lists it as uncharacterized. The record is from RefSeq and is a predicted model, not a curated record. The transcript has 3 exons. Lineage: Eukaryota; Metazoa; Chordata; Aves; Psittaciformes; Psittacidae.